Molecule: non-coding RNA, 84 nt
Organism: Gautieria morchelliformis
Lineage: Eukaryota; Fungi; Basidiomycota; Agaricomycetes; Gomphales; Gomphaceae
Source: the annotation of a GenBank genome assembly
GGCUUGGUAGUCUAGUGGUCUAUGAUUCCCGCUUUGGGUUAUUAACCUUGCGGGGGGUCCCGAGUUCAACUCUCGGCCAAGCCC